RNAcentral lists this long non-coding RNA (282 nucleotides) under Carica papaya (papaya). Its description in RNAcentral is "long non-coding RNA (CPAP_LNC004959)". Lineage: Eukaryota; Viridiplantae; Streptophyta; Magnoliopsida; Brassicales; Caricaceae. The record is from RNAcentral.
CACGUUGGCGAUCCGCGUGGGCGCGAUCGGACGGCCCAGAUCAAUCGCGCGAUCGGACGGCCCAGAUACAAUCGCACGGACGGCCCAGAUUCAAUCAAAAACGAACGGUCCAGAUUAAAACAAAAUGGACGGCUGAGAUCAAAAGGCAAGGGGUUAUAAAUAGAACCCCCACACCAGACCACAAACCCUAGCCGCCUGCCGCUCGCCGGAGAAGACGAACCAGAGGCCGACCGCCGCCACCCGCCGCCGCACCGGGGAAAUUUUCGACAGCCGAUCGAGGUA